Molecule: long non-coding RNA, 203 nt
Filed under: Mytilus galloprovincialis (Mediterranean mussel)
Lineage: Eukaryota; Metazoa; Mollusca; Bivalvia; Mytilida; Mytilidae
Source: RNAcentral
GGUUUAGCUGCCAAUUCUAGGGUAUUAUGAGGCAACACUGCGACAGAUCGAGUAAUGAAGUAAUACAAAAAGGACAAAAAGAAAUAGAUUACUACAUUACUAAAUGAUAGAAAUUGUAAUGUUUCCUAGCCAGAGAUUUGCAAUAAAAUCUUUAAUUGAAUAAUUUCUUAUUUGUAUGUAUUAUCACAAUUCUUUAAAGCGGG